UCUGUAAAGCUUUUCACUCUUUUGAAACUUGAUUUAUAAAAUUUCAUUUGUGUUUUUUGACGUUUUUAACAGAAAAUGUUGUUCUAAUUUGUUUUUAUUCUUACUACUUUCUUACUAUUUUAUGCCCAUUUUUUGAAAGAAACAUUUAUAGAAUAUUUAAAUUUUAUUUCUGGGAUUAUUAAACAUUACUAUGAUAACAAGAUUUUUUUAAUGCAAUUAUUUGCUAUGCUUCUGAAGCAAAUAAAGAAAACUGAAGAUUAAAGAUUUGGAUUUGAGCAUACCUAAGAAUCCAUUUAAUUAGUGGGUCUUCAAUAUAACUAUUAAACAGAGUUAAUAUUAUGAAAUCUUAAAUCCAUGCUAAUUUUGAAACAACGUAUUAUCCCACAGAGGCAAGUUACUUUCAUAUGUAAUUUGAUUCAGAAUUCUAACUGAAGUUAUCAUAAGAUUUUUUAUCUCGAUAUUUACUUCUAUCUAUAAAAAAUUAAAAUAAUUUUGACUAUUAAUUUUAUUUUAAAUCCAUGCUUUCUGUAAAAGAUAGCUUAUUUUUGAAUAAUUUUCUGUUGAAUAGAAGCAAUGUAUAACAAGAUUUAGUCUUUUUUUUGGCCUUGUCUGAAUCAUUUUAGUCCAACUGCUCUAAUAGUCAUUCACUUUUUAAAAAGCCAACAUGAACAUUAAGUUGUCUGAAUAUGCUUUAUAUGAAAAGGUCUCCAUUUCACAUGGUCUUGAAAAUUAUAUACAAAUGUGAAUUUAUGCCUUGUGGUCUUAGAAAUUAUAUACAAGUAUAUGUGUGUUAAUGAUGAUUCUUUACAAAUCUAUACUAUAAAAAAACUUUCAGGAGACUGAGGCAAGAGAAUGGCGUGAACCCGGGAGGCGGAGCUUGCAGUGAGCCGAGAUCGCGCCACUGCACUCCAGCCUGGGCGACAGAGCGAGACUCCAUCUCAAAAAACAAAAAACAACUUUCUGGGAACUUUUAUGCAAAAAAAUUAUAACAUAAUUAUUUUGUUAAACUUUGGCACACAAAACAUUGUUUACUCAUACAAAGUAAUCAAUGCAGGAAAAUUUUACUUAUAUAUUGUGUUUCUUAAGAUAAAUACUGAAUUAGGACUUAAAAGGCAGCUAUUUUCCAUCACUGUUAGUUUAACAAUCUUAAUUUCAUCUUAAGAUUUCAAGAUCUCAUUUUGCAGUUGAAAGUUACCAUUAUUGUUUUAUUAAUUGUAAGGUGGUUAUAUUUCACUACAGAGAAAAAAAGGUAUCAAGUAAUUAGGCCAGCAUGGUAAAUGAUUAAAUUUGCAAAUGCCUAUUGUUUUCUCUCUCUGUUCAUUUGAGUAUAGUUAUUUGGGAGUAAUUACUAUUAUAUUCUAUGCAUUGUGUGGUCUAAUGUUACUAUUUAUAUGCCCAUUUUUCAAAAGAAACAUAUUUUAUAGAAUAUUUAAAUUAUAUUUCUGGGAUUAUUAAACAUUACCAGGCUAACAAGAUUUUUUUUAAAUGCAAUUAUUUGCUAUGCUUCUGAAGCAAAUAAAGAAAACUGAAGAUUAAAGAUUUGGAUUUGAGCAUACCUAAGAAUCCAUUUUAAGUACUUUUGAUUAGCUAUUUUAGAGAUGAAUGUUAUGUUUUAUGUAUAAUCUCAGCAAGCCUGGAUGGUAAAAUGGUUUUACAUAAUCAAUAUCAGUAUAGUUUAAAGUAAUUUUCUAUCUUAAGGUAUAUGACCCCAGUGGUCAGAAUUUAGUGCUAAAAAGGCCAAUAUUUGAGGCCAAGCUUAUCUCUUUAAUCGGAUGUUCUCAAGCAAGAGACUGGCUCUUCUGUUGACAAGUAAUUUCUUAUUUUAUAAUGUGGGUAGUAAUUGACUGAGUUGUUUGUUAAAGAUAUGUCCCUAGAUCCUCCUUAUUUAGCAGUCCUGAUGCAGUAUAUAUAACAUCUGAACUUAUACACUUGAUAUAAAAGGGUUACCAUUUUUGAGAACCACAGAGAUAGGUAGUUCAUUACUCUCAAAGUAUAGAAAAUUUAAAUAUACUUCAAGCAAGAGACAAGAAUCAUGGAAAAAUGGUUACAUUUCUGUAGGAGAUAAACAUACAUAAUAUGUUAAAAUUAUUUUCUAUAUUUCUGGAGUUAGGCGGGCCCCAGUGAUUAAGGUAGUUUAAGUGUGCUUGUUACAUUAAGAAGGAAAUUUAUCUUUGGUGCACUAGUGUAUUUUACUUAUGUGCUUGACUGUAAGACCAUCUUUCAAAAGCAAGGUUUAAUUAAGAGAUUAUUGCAAGCCUGAGUUUUGAUAUAUUAGUCAGAUAUAAAUCACAUCAUAGGAAGAUAUUAUUAUAAUAUUAUAAUAGCUCUCUUAGAAUGGAGGAAAUUUUACUAUACAGUGUACUUGCCCAAGUCAGGAUCUAAACCCAGGUAUCUCUACAUCCCUAGAGCUCAAAUUCUUUUUAUUAAUAUAUAAUGUCUCUUUAGAAUACACCUGCCUCUUUAGAAUACAAUUUUCUUGUAAAAAUUGUUCGCUGAUUUUGUCCUGUUUUGUCAUCAGCUGAUCCCCCUUGUUCAUACAGUAGCAUCUUAUUUACUAUAGAUUCAUUUCUUAGAUGAUACCCUUCCUUUUGACCUCUAAUAGGAUUAGAGUUAACUUUAAUCCUAUUCCCUUUUCUACCCUUUUGACACCUUUUCCUACUUCUAUAAUAUUUAUUGACUGACAGAAAAUGUUAAUCAUAGCAGUAUGAAAAGUAGGAUACAUGUUGAUAUCAUAUUUCUUACCUAAAAUAGCAUUAUGUAUUAUACAAACAUAUAGAAAUUAUUAUAAUAAUUUACUGUCUAUAUACAUCAUCCAUACCUUGUUUAAUUUAAUCUUCACAGCAAAUUGUCCUAUAAGAAUACCAUUUAACAUGCAAAGGUUUGAAGUUCUUUUGGAGGUACUAGAUAUUCUACCCAAAUGUUUUAUACAUAUUAUUUUUGUGUUUGCAAACUUCUAGGACAGUAUUAUCAUCCCCUUUUUCCAGAUGAAAAUACUAAGGUUCAGAAAAAUUAAAUACUUUUCCCAGGAGUUAAAAGCCAGUAGGUGACAGAUACAGAGGAUUCUGUGUAACUCCAAAAUCAUUUCUACCACACUGAGAGAAAAAAAUGCCUAGGUAUGAUUAUUUUUUGUGACCCCAAUUAAAUGAGAAAAACUUAGCAGCGGUAUCUUUACAAAGAUGCUUUGACUCAUGAGUUUGCCUCAGAAUAGCUCAAGAGCACGAAAGUCAGGCAACAGCAUGUUAGGCAGUGUCUACUAUGGGCAAUGAGACAUACAGCAUUUUAGCCUAACUAGAAUAAAAAUAAAUGCAUUGGUUUUUAGCAGUGGAUUACAUGUAGUGAAGGAAAAGCACUCCAUAAAUCAGAAAUGAAUUCAGGGCAUAUUACCUAGGAGUGAUUGCAGACUGACAAGACAUCUCAUGGGAGGAGAGGCUGUUGAUAAGGCAAGAUUAUUUUCAAGACUGUCUUUUCCUAUAGAAAGUAAUUCCCAGGACAAAAACUUCCAUCCAAGAAAUCUGACUUUGAUUGUUUAUCUGCAGUAUGACUUACUGAGCAAAUAUUAUUAAAAGGUUAUUCAUACUUCAGAUUGCUUUUCACUAUCACAAGACUACAUUGUCUGAACUUUACACACUUUGAUUCAACAAAAGUUUUGAAUCAUGCUGUUAUGGCUUCAACUUUUACUGAAACUUCUGUAGAACUAAUAAGAGUUGGAUUGGAAAAAUUAAAUUUAACUUUUUCCUUGAACUGGCAUGCAUGCUUGUUGUAAAUUUUUAAAAAUAUACCAUUAUAACAACCAUAGAUUGGUUUUAAUCUAGGGGCUGGGCAAACAUCACUGUAGCGUAGUGGCUAAAGAUACACUUAAAUCUAGCCUUUCUGCAUAGGAUCCAUGUGACUGAGCACUACUUGCUGAAUCUUUCUGCACCUCAAUUUUUUUUAACCUGUUAAGUGUGAUAACAGCACCUAUCUUAUAAGGGUCUCUUGAGAAUUGUUUGGCAUAUAAAGCACCAAGAAGAGUAUCUGGAGCAUAGAAGCAUCCCAAAAAGAUGAGCUAUUAUUCACAGUACCAGUGCCAAAGCUUGAAUCCGACUCUGUCUAAUUCAAAAGCCCUGGCCUUCAGCUGCCCAAUGCACUGCUUCUAGAGGGGAGGUUAAGUUUGUAUCCAUUACUAAUACAAAUGCAUAUAUAUAUAUAUAUAUGUAUGUAUAUGUAUAUACAAUACAUACAUAAGCAUAUAUGUAUGUGUAUAUAUACAACAGUCCCAAAUUUUAUAAAGAAAUUUGAGAAACAACAAAAGUUUCACAAGGGGAAAUAUAUUUUCUGUUGUACUUAGCAUAAUGUUUAUUUAUAAGUAGAUUGUAUCAUGCAAAAAAAUUUCAUAAACCCACUUACUUCAAUUUCUGGUAACUUCUCUUCUUUAUUAUGGUAAAACUCCUCAAACUUGUAUUACACCCAUUAUAUACAUUUCUUCUCCUUCAAUUCUCUCCGUAUCCAUUCAUUAGGUUUCUUUCUCAAAUGCCCUGCCUGAACUGCUCUUAUUAAAGUAAACAAUGACCUUCAUAUGGUUAAAUCCCAUGCCUAAUUCUCUCCUCUCAUCUUGCUAGACAUAUGGGUGUUAUUAGACACAAUCGCCUUUGCCAGAAGUAUUCCAGGGCCAAAUUCUUGAAACUCUUCUCCUUCCUCCUUAUAGCCUCUCCUUUGGUCAUAAGAUCCAACAUAAUGGUUUUAAUUACAUUCUAUAUACAGACUCUUUUCUGAAUUUAUGUCUCAACCCAGAACCUAUGCAUGAACCCCAGAUUCCUGUAACCAAGUGUCUACUCAUUGAGUAGAAACUCAUCCUCUUAUUAGUACAGAAAAAGGAAAGUUAAAAAAAAAUUAAGCCUUGCUAUUAUCCUUGGCUCAGGUUCUCUCAUACCUUACAUUAUCAUUGCCUGCCAACUUCUGCAGUGGCUUCCUACCUGGUGUCCCUGGUCCCACCUCCAGGUACUGGUCAGAGAGUAAUAAAUAUCAUUGUCAUAAACCCUGACCUCUUGAAACAUGUAUUUCAUUGACAUAUAAGAUUCAUACUCACUCUGCAAUUACACAAAGUAAUGGAAUAGGAGGUAAAAGUCAGCAAAGAGGAUAUUUUGAGAAAGCCAUCUUGGUUUGAAAGUUCUUAAUUUAUAAUAGCUAGAAAAAUAAGAAGACUUCAAUUUGUAGAAUCACUUGCAUUUUUCCAAGUGAGAAGUUAGAACACCUCUCUAGAUAUGUUGGUUUCUCUUGAAUGGACUAGUUUUUGAGAUUAUUAUAAAAUUAUCUGUUAUUUUGACAUUAUGCUUAUACCAUUAACAUUAAUACAGUGUGCCCAUUUAAAUAAGUAUUACUUUAAAUCUAAGGCACUCUUGAAAUUUAAAAAAAAAAAAGAUGUUUAACUAUAUGUUCUUUUUUUUAUUUUUCCUAAUUAAUCAACUUAUUUAACAAACAGUAAAGGAAGAAAGUCAUUAGAUUAUCACAAAUGGCAAGCACUAAGAACGUACUUCUUUCCUUAACCCUUAAGGUGAAGUCUUCAGAAAUUAUGUUUAAGCAAUAUGAAUCAUAGUUAGUUUAAUGAGUCAUUUAUUCCUGCAAUUAGGUGGAGAGGAAAAGCAGAAAGAAAGGAGUCAUUUAAAGGUCAUUAUUUACCAACUUUUCAUUUUUCAGUAUAGCCUCACACACACCCACAUCCGACCCUUAUCUACCUUAGAGUUCUUCUAUCAGUAGAAAUUAUUUGUAAUCAGAAGUAGCUCAGCCUGAUUCAUCAAAAAGGAAGGGAUUGCAAUAAUUUUUAAAAGGAGAUUUCAGAGUUUAUGCUGUCAAUCUCCCAGCAUCAGCUUCUUCUAAAUAGUCUCCAGCUAUUUGUAAUACUUUACUCAUAGCUUUUGGACAUGCAUUUGUUAUCAAAGGCAGAGUAAAACUUGCUUCCUGGGGCCUAUUUUUCCUUGCCAGCAUCACAGUCUUACACCACACAGUUAUGAAUAUAUUCUUCCUCAGUUAUACUUUUAUUUAUGUCCUCUAGACAUUCUGGGUAAUUAUGCUGGAAGGAACCAGAAAAAAAAAAAGACUAUUACAAGUAUCAUGUACAAAACAUAAAAGUAAAUCCACACAAGAUAAUGUGUUUUAUAUACCCUGUUAUAGAUACAGUGGGAAUCAACUUCACUCACAGCAACUUUGGAUUGGCUUUUCAUCUUUAUUUGGUGGCAAUUUGUAAUAAUAAAGCAACAGAAUGUCUUCAUGUAUUUUAUCAUUCUAUCUCUUAAUUGAAACAUUUCUGCUAUUUUAUUUUUAAAUAAGCCAGAAUGGAAGGCAUUGUAGUAAUACUUUUUCAGUUAUGUAAAAAGAAAGCACUUUAACCACAGCAGAUAUAGCAUUCUUAGUACUGUGAAUUAGUAAUCGUUUUAAAAUAUGUAAAUCAUAUUGUAUUUUAUUGGUGGGUUAUUCUUUUGUUGUUGCCCUUAGUACAGUAGUAAACUUCUUGAAUUAUUGUUCAACCCUUUGGAGAUAUUGAAUAAAUGUACAUAUUCUUCUAGGCAUUCAUUUAGUUGCCAGUCUGAAAAUAUUGUUUGAAAAGCCCUAGAAUUAACCACUUCUCCAAAACGCCCUGAUUCCUUCCAUUGAAGACCGAUAUUUAAAACCAAGAUCUGGAUACUAGUUAUACUCAUUGCUACUGGGGUAUCACUGUUUAUAUGCCCUCUUAAGAGUACAGAGCAAAAAAUAUGUGUGUAUACUAACCCAUUUAUCUGCACACAUCUAUAUUUACUUUUGUACAUGUGUAUGCAUAUAUGUUUGCAUGUAUGCAUGUCUCCAUCUACCUUCCUACUUAUCGAUUUCUCUGUCUCUAUCCAUACAUCUAUCUACCAUCUAUCUUCAUACUAAUACCUCCAAUCUAAUCAACAACACCGUUCUAACCUUCACCAUUAUUUGUUACUUCUUUCUCAGACAGUGAAAACUAAGACUAUCAAUAUCUGAAACCUGUUUGCUUAUUUGUUUAACCCUACCAUACAUGUAGUUUAAAACUUGCUAAGCCAUUACUCUGUGAGAAACAACUUUACCAAGAGGAGUACAUUGUUUGGAUUAUUUUUAUUUUUAGCUUUACAGUUCAGUCAAAACACUAUUUUCUAAAGUUACUUAGGGCACAUCCCCUCUCUCCACUGAGCUUAUUGUGGUUAUGAGAUUUAUUUGUUAUAUAAAUAGAUAAAUUUGCUACAAACUGCAUUUUCUGUUGGGUUUUCCAUACAUCUUUGUUGAUUUUGUUAAACUUACAUUUAACAAAAUGUGCUUUUUGUGGUAUACAAUUUUAUGAUUUAAGUCAUGUAUCCAAUGCCACAUUUCCUUAUAGAAGACUUCCAUUAUCCAAAAAUUCCACCACACUGCCUGCCUGUAGUCAGCUACCGACCCCAAACUCCAAACUCUGGCAAAUAUUGCACUGUUUGCUGCUGCUAUAGUUUCACCUUCUCCAGAAUGUCAUGGGAACAGAGUCAUAAACUAUUGAACCUUUUGGACAUGGCUUCCUCCGCUUAGUAGAAACAUUUAACCCUAAUUCAUAUUGUAUUAAUCAUUAGUUCUGCCAUUUUAUUGCUGAGUCACUGUCUCUUGUAUGGAUGUACCACAAUUUGUUUAUCUGUUCACAGUUUGAAUGGAUAAACUGUGAAUGGAUGAACUGUGGGUUGUUUCAGGAUUUAGUGAUUAUAAAUAAAGCUGCUCUAAACAUAUCAA
This is a long non-coding RNA of Homo sapiens (human), 7725 nucleotides long. RefSeq lists it as uncharacterized. The record is from RefSeq and is a predicted model, not a curated record. NCBI's taxonomy places the organism in Eukaryota, Metazoa, Chordata, Mammalia, Primates, Hominidae. The transcript is spliced from 2 exons.